AUUUAUGUGUUUUAGUUAUGGUCCGAAUUUAUGCUUUGCUUUCUUUGGCAUUUUUUGGUCGACUUCAUAUAUGGUUAGUGUUGUUAUCAUGAUCAAGAAAUACGUUUCUGACUUAUGAUGAUAACAUUUCGAUCCGCUCUUUCUUACAUGUUUAAGAUGCACUUCCUUUGGUUAUCUUGUCUUAAAUUUCUAUCCAGUUCUUGCUUGAGUUUAGUUGUUUAAUCUUUAUCCAAUUCCCUUCUCGCUCGAGUUUAUUUGUCUAGUCUCGAAGGGUUUGAUAUAGGCAGGGCAACACUUGAUUUAUACAUUUAGUACUGAUAACAACUGUUUUGAAUCAAAUUUUUGCUUUGGACUAGAGUUCCAACCUAUAGUCUUGUUGAAGUUUUUUUUUUAAUUUGUCGAAGUUAGUGAACUAGUCGACUGCUUGCCUUAACACAAGCAUGAAAGUAGUUCUUCCAUUUCCAGCAUGCUUUGAAACUAUUUGUGGUCAUGUUUGCUCUAGAGGUCUGUUUACAAUGUGUUUGAAAGUAGUUGUAGGCCUGAUUACUAACUCAUUUUCAUGCGAUGAAUUGCCGCCCUUGUCUAGAACAUUUUGGUGAUGUGCGAUGGACGGAUCUUGACAUGAAUGUUGCAUUUUUGGAUCAGCAGAUCAUAUUGCUUUCAAUUUGAUUUAGACUGAUUAUAAAUGUUGAGUUGUUGCUUCUUUUAGAUAUCCUUUCUUUCCGUAAAUCGCUGAAUUUUGUUGGGCUUAGUUUUCCAGUAGUUUGUUUGUGCCCAACUCCCUGGAAAUUGUAUCUUGAGGGAAACUUUGACUCUUUACUUGGUUGUUUCUUUCAGUUCAUGAUCAUUUAAGUCUUCCCCUUUGUAUCUGUCAGUUAGUUUCUAUGUUUACUCGUCGGGUCGCAAGUAUGAAGUUUCCUUAGAGCAUGGAUUCAUUAGUUCUUCUUUAGGAACCUACUCUCCAUAAACUGAGUUUGGUGGGAGUUAAACUGCUUGAUUGUCUUCAAAGUUAUUUGAUUAUAAUAGGUCGAGUAUUUUCUAUUCUAAAACAUAAAGAUUGAUUUCGUUCCAAGAAGUUGUCCACAUAGUUUAAGAAGAUGGAUUUUCUCCUUAAACCCUUUUGAUUUUAUUUUAUUUUACUUAGAAAGGGACUACAGGUAAAGGGAAAAUCUGAUCCGAAUACCUUUCCCUGAUAUAUUGUUCGCAUCUUUGGUCGGAUGUUUGUACGUCUUGGUCUCUUUUGAAUGUGUUAUAGCUUGAAGGUCGUGUCUUUAGAGUAAUCCUUUGGUUAAGCUCAAUUUCAAGAAACCAUUAUUGGAAAUGGCUGAACAUUAUAUUAUUAAAUUUUCAGUCAUUUUAAUUUUUCAAUUUGAAACUUUAUAAGUACUCCAAACAGAGUCGUGAUUAAGAGUAUAUACGCGUGCACUUUCGCUUGAAUUAUGUACACCAUAUCUCCAUGACAAAUCUGCCUAUACCAUUGUGAGAUGAUUAUGCCAAGAAACCUUAGAAAUAUUAUGUAGGUCUUCAUGCUUCAACUUAUCCAUAACUUAUAUUUCAUCUUAUAAUUUAAUCGGACUGAGUUUAUUUUAAUUAAGUUUUACUUAUUACUAUUCGAAAAGAUCAAAUCUUUUUUUACCUUCCAUUCCUCAUGACAAACAAAUACUUCUUAAGAAGGAUAAGAGAUGGACCUCUUUAUACCAAUACAUGUUGAUUGUUCUCUUGAAUGAUUUAAGAUAGAAAUACAUGUUUCAUUAAAGAAUAAUAUCACAUCUUUGCUUACGGCUCUUUUACGACACAUUGUUUAAUUCUUUUAUGUUUUCUGGAGUAUAACUUGUAUUCAUGAGUAUCACUUCAAGUUCACAUACUUUGUUUGGUUUAUCCUUUGCCUCAAUAUUAAGUCCUUCUAAUUCUUUUCUUCUUCUUCUUUUUUAUUUUCACAUGUACACUCGGGAGUGCAUUUGGAGUUGUGAUACGACUCCA
This 1980-nucleotide long non-coding RNA is filed under the name Solanum tuberosum (potato). RNAcentral's name for it is "long non-coding RNA (STUB_LNC000002)". The record is from RNAcentral. Lineage: Eukaryota; Viridiplantae; Streptophyta; Magnoliopsida; Solanales; Solanaceae.